GACAAUUUAAUUUUUUCUUAUACAGCGCAUACUGGAAAGAUGAAAUCGACAAUCUAUAUGAAAAAUAGUCGCUGAUAAAUAUAAUAAAUCAAACAAAAGAUAUAAAUAUUGUGGUAAGUCAACUUUAGUAAUCAUAAUUAAUUUUACUCCAUUAUUAAUAUAUCUAAUUUACAUUUUUUUAUUAGCAUAUUGAUAUAGAAUUAAAGCUAUUGAGAAGACUUAUUCACGAUGGAUCUCCCCCGCUUUCUAAAGAAUAUGCAAUCAUGGACCUUAGAUUCGAGAAUGAAUCUGUUCAUUGGUAUACAAUUAUAAAAGGAGGAGCUGCCCAUUCUACAAGUAAUUUCAAUGCAUUACAAUAGUACAUAAAAGGAGAAUUACCUGUAUUUGCUCGUCCGUGGAUAACAUACAACUAUUUAUUGAUUCCAUCCACAUAUCCAGGCAACAUUUGGUUUCUUUUCUUGUCAACUUUCAAAAGUGGAAACUUCAUGUAUAUGAUUGCAGCCACAACAUUCAUACACCAGACGCAAUUAAAUUACGUGUAGCACCAUUUUUGACUGUAGUACAAUCAUUAUUGAUAUCUACAGACAUUUUCUUCGGCAAACCAAGUUUAAGAAAACAAAGAAAUAAACAUAUGAAAUUGGAAAUCAUACCGUAUCUACCUUGUCAAAAUAAUGGAUAAGCAUCUCAACAAUUUACUGUAAUAUUUAAUUUUCUAUUUAAUUUUAUUUUACAUUUACAACAUUAACAUAAACUAACUUCAAUUUUUUUUUAUAGGCCAAAUUCUGGAGUUUUCCUUCUCAAAUACAUUGAAUGCUUCGUUUUCAGAUAUCCAUUAGAAACAGUUUCACCAAAGAAGAUACGUUUAUACAGACAAAAGAUUGUCACAGAUAUUUGUCACAAUGAAUAUUUUUUAUGUCCAUGUUUAUCCUAACCAUAACAAAUUAUGAAAAUUCAGUAAGAUUCCUUUAUCAAAAUUCAAUCUAUAAUCUUAUAUUCAUAGCUUCAAAAUUACUUAUUUUAAAUAUUUCUAUACAUUGGAAUAAAUGUAAGUUCUUCG
This 1057-nucleotide long non-coding RNA is filed under the name Olea europaea subsp. europaea. The record is from RNAcentral. Lineage: Eukaryota; Viridiplantae; Streptophyta; Magnoliopsida; Lamiales; Oleaceae.